UCACUAUUAAUUGUUCUUAUUAUUAAUCUUAGAUUAAUAAUUGUUCUUAUUAUUAAUCUUUAAUCUAAAGUUGCAGAGGAUGAAACAAUUACUCAUAAUUAUUGGCAGCAAGUGAAUGAGAAAGAAGAAGAACAUCAAUCAGAAGAAGAACUAUGUGCGCAAAAGCCUUACAGAAUCAAGCUAGUCGACGUGGUUUGUGAUGGCUAUCUUGUAGUUAUUAGAGGCAUUAGAAGAGCUAUUAUGACAAGAAGAGCAAUGAUGAUGAAUUCACAAUUGAAAUCUCAUAAAAGAUUUGUUAAUGCAUUUUCAAGAUAUUGCAAACUUGUUGAUAAUGCUAGAGUAUUUUGCACAAAUGGUGUUGGUGUUCCACUAAAGGUGGAAAACAAAUAUUGAUUUUAAAGGUAUUGCUAAGGUACUUAAUUUGUUUUCAAUGCAUAGCAGAAACUACAAGGCAUCCUGCUUCUGUAGCAUCAUUUGCUUCAAUUAUGUUUGCUUCUCAAGGAAAAUUGUCCUUGAAACAUCAAAAUACUUUUAUAGGCUAGAACAUUGUGCAUACCUUCUAGUAUAAAGAGACUUGCAGAAUUGUUGAAGUUGAGUCAUAAUCAUCUUGACCGUCCCUUGUCUGCUGAAUUUGGCAAUCUCAUAAGCAUACAAAUUAUGUAAGUCUUAUUGAUGUUUUCUGAUCUGGACGAUUGAAUUCUCAACGUCUUGUUAAGUUGUUUUUCCUUUGGGUUUAAUUGGUUCAUAAUGAUUUAUAUUUUCUCCAAUGAUAUGUCCUUCAACAACCUUUCGGGGAACAUUCCACCAUAUAUUGGACAGCUGCAGAACCUUGCGUCUCUGUAUGUCUAACUAUGAAGAGUUUUGUGCUUAAUGUUUUGUGUUUAUUCCUUGUCGGGUAACUUGUUUACUGAUUUUCCAUUACUUUAACCGAUGAUAUGAUUUUGAACAACAAUGACUUGCACGAGAAUAUUUUUUAUCACCUCUCCAAUUGUUUCAGUCUUUCUUCCAUGUGGCUAUUCUCGACAGGAAGCCUAUUGCUUUUCUGUUUUUUAUUCAAUUAAUAUUGCUUUGAGCCUCUAUGAACUAAAUCCAUGCUAAUGUCUUGUUCAUGUUUUAGAAACUUUUCUUAUAACAACUUCACUAGAGUAGUUCCAUCUAUGAAGAACUUCACACGAUUUUCAGCUGACAUGUAGUGCAGAGCAAACCUUUAUAUUUCAUGGUCAUGAACUUGAAUGUGUUGAUAACUUAUUUAACUUCACAAUUUGUAGCUUCUUUGGGAAUCCUUUGUUAUGUGGAAAUUGAGAAGGAUCUAUAUGUCAUCAUUAUCUUCCAAAAUCAAGAGAACUUUUUUCUAGAGUUGCAGUUGUAUGUCUUGCUCUUGGUCUCAUCAUGUUACUCACUAUGGUAAUUGUCGCUAUCUAUAGAACCACCAAUCCAAGCAGUUGAUUAAAGGAUCUAGCAAGACAGGGCAAGGUAUAAUGGAUGGUUGAAUUCUACUUGGAUAGUGGGAUUCUGCUUUUUUAUCAGGUGCCACAUUGAUGCGAUUGACUUGGAUCGUGUGGUUAAAAUUGGUGUCAUAUGCGCAUAUAAUAUGAUAUGAGAGCACUUACCUUUUCAAAUGAAAAGGUAGCAAAAGGUAGUGGUUAGUAUUUCGACAAAUAUAUUUAAUGAUGUUAUGCUAUACGUUAUGAUAUUUAGUAUUUGAACAAGGAAGUCCCGCAUGAUAUUUAGUAUUAGGAAAAUAUUGUUUUAUCUCCUAAUUGUUAUAAUAAAGUUCAUUCUGCUUCUCUCUUCAAUCGUCUGUUAUUGCUGCAUGGUGACAUGAUGCUAUAAUCUGUCCAAAUUAGUGACCGAUAAAAGUUAUUAUUUUUCCCUUAUUCAAUUAUGUUACCUUUGGUAUUGGGAGAAACAGUGGCCAAUCCUUUGAACGUGGAGUACCCUUCCAGUGUGAACUUCAUGAGUUUGACGUACUUCGUGAUUGCUCCUACAUUAUGCUACUAGGUAUCAUAAAUUAACUUAAAAAUAUUGAUGUAUGUAUAAUUAUUUGGUUAUUGUUGCCUCAUUAUUUAUUCACCUCUUCUACUAACAUCUGCAAGCAUUUAAUUUUUAUGAUUGAAGCACAUACAAGGGCAUUGUUCAACUAGAGUAUUUUGAGGUUUUUAGUUAAAGAGAGGUCACAUCUUUGAAGUCAUCUUUUUGUCAGUUGGUCUUUUCUAUGUGUAGCCUCCACAACUUGUCUCUGAUCCUUAAAUCAAUUUGUCACAGUGUCUAUUAUCUCCUCUUCAUGGCCAUCUACUUAGCUUUAGUCCAUGUUAGCUUAUGUCACUAAUAGUAUAUAUAUAUUACUAUCGUUUAUAUAUACUCACACUUGUGAUUUAUUUGUGUUGUCAUGUUAAGUAUAAUGUAUUGUCAACAUAGUUGAUGCCAUCAUGUGACUCCUUGGGACAUGUUCAAUUCGAUUAUGUCUAUAAAUACAUCAGUAU
Non-coding RNA from Cicer arietinum (chickpea), 2483 nucleotides. Lineage: Eukaryota; Viridiplantae; Streptophyta; Magnoliopsida; Fabales; Fabaceae. The record is from RefSeq and is a predicted model, not a curated record.